CGUCAAUAAAUGCCACACCUCACACUUUUCUGUAUUAAAUUCCGUCAACCAUUCCUCCGCCAACCUGGCCAAUCGAUCUAGAUCCCGCUGCAACCUUUCACAACCAUUGUACUAACUGCAAAACUACUAACUUUUGUAUCUUCAGCAAACUUGCUGAUCAUGCCCUGUAUGUUCUCAUCCAAAUCAUUGAUGGAGAUGACUAACAGUAACGGGCCCAGCACCGAAUCCUGAGGCACACCACCAGUCACAGGCCUCGAGUCUGAGUAGUGACUUUCCACCAUCACACUCUGCCUCCUUCCAUGGUGCCAAUGUUCUAUCCGUUCAGCAAUCUCUACUUGGAUCCCAUGCAAUCUAACCUUCCAGAGCAGCCAACCAUGCGGAACCUUGCCGAACGUCUGACUGAAGUCCAUGUACACAACAUCUACAGCUCUGCCCUCAUCAACCUUUUUGGUCAAGUCUUCAGCAAAAACCAAUAGAUUUGUGAGAUACGACCUCCCACGUACAAAACCAUGCUGACUAUCCCUAAUCACCCCUUGCCCAUCCAAAUGUCUGUAUAACCUAUCCCUCCGAAUAUUCCCCAGCUACUAACCGCUACAGAUGUUAAACUCCACUAGAAAUGUUAAACUAAACUAACCACUACAGAUGUGAAACAUAUUUUCUAUGUUUCUAUGUAACUCACCAGAUGACGCCAGAUGAGAUGGUAACGUUCUGACAUGUGCCAAUGAUGCCGACAUGACAAGAUGGAAAUGAAGAUGCAACAGACCAAUGGUGGACAGAAAGCAGCUCAGGCCCUGAGAUUUGUUUCACAUUAACCCCAUGCCAUUUAUGUUGUACACAGAAAACUAGCAGAUGAUUGUAGAAUGGCGACAUCACUCGACCGAAACCCCAUUGUAUCAGGCCAAGAAAUGGUGGGCAGAAAGCAGUUUAGGCCUUGAGAUGUAUUCUCCAUCAAUUCAAUCCAAUUAUUUUGUGACCGGCAAACUAGCAGGUAAGUGAACGGAACGGUACCGUGUCCGAAUCCUCAAAAACUCUGACAUGUCGAGAUUACCGUUUAUAUAUAGUGUUGGACCGAACCUUUUCCAAAGCAGCUCAUUCCCACCCAAUGGGAUUUAUACUGAAUCACUCGUGUGACCUUCAACAUUACCUGGUGGCCUUUGACACUGUUACCGAACGUGUCACUCACUGACGUUGAUGAUUUACUGAGAGGGGGACCGCCCACCGCCAGCAGGCACAGUGAUGAUGAGCGGUCAAAACAUGGUGGGAGAUACGACAAGGAAAACAAUGCAAAUACUGUUCUCCUGUAGAGGUCGAGUGGCGGAAUAUUAGAAUCAAGGAACUUGAAGAAAACCGAACGAGACCGUUUGGACAUCGGUUGGCAAUGGUUCAAAAUAUGAAUCCACCUGAAUCGACCUUCCAGAUCUGUGUCCAUGGCCCCGGGGCAGGGGAUGGAAGUGAGAUAUUCUGAGUUGUUGAGAUGCUGGUCCAUGGAUUGUUUUGGGCCGAACCUUCUUCAAGGCAACUCAAACCCGCCCAUUGAAUUUGAUACCGAGUCACUCUGGUUUCCGUUAAUUUUACCUGAUGGCCUUUCACAUUGAUACCGAGUCUGUCAGUCAGUGAUGCUGUGGGCUAACUUAGUGGAGAACCACCCGCCGCCCUCAUGCACAGGGGUGAAGAGUGUGUCAUUCCAUCAAUAAUAUCCCAUCGUGCGUCAUGCUAUCAGUUCUACCCCAUUGUGGAUCACUCCAUCAGUACUGCACAACAAUGUGUCCGUCAAUUAGUACUACCCCACAAUUUGUCCCUCCGUGACUACUCCUGUGCGGAUGGGAUAUCGAAGGACGAGAAGUCGAAGCCAAUAAAUGGAAGCUAGGGUACCGAACGGACACCAUGCCGAAAGGAUACCAAACAGAACGGGUAUGACG
Leucoraja erinaceus (little skate) is the source of this 1919-nucleotide long non-coding RNA. RefSeq lists it as uncharacterized. The record is from RefSeq and is a predicted model, not a curated record. The transcript has 2 exons. Lineage: Eukaryota; Metazoa; Chordata; Chondrichthyes; Rajiformes; Rajidae.